UAGCUUGGGAAUCUGGCUUAUGGAGGGGGAUAACUACGGGAAACGGUAGCUAAUACCGCGUAGUAUCGAGAGAUGAAAGUGCGGGACCGCAGGCCGCAUGCCAUGAGAUGAGCCCAAGUGGGAUUAGGUAGUUGGUGGGGUAAAGGCCUACCAAGCCUGCGAUCUCUAGCUGGUCUGAGAGGAUGGCCAGCCACACUGGAACUGAGACACGGUCCAG
This 217-nucleotide ribosomal RNA is filed under the name uncultured bacterium. RNAcentral describes it as "partial 16S ribosomal RNA". It matches the Rfam family "Bacterial small subunit ribosomal RNA", at positions 113 to 334 of the family's 1533-position model. The record is from RNAcentral.